Priapulus caudatus is the source of this 297-nucleotide long non-coding RNA. RefSeq lists it as uncharacterized. NCBI's taxonomy places the organism in Eukaryota, Metazoa, Priapulida, Priapulimorpha, Priapulimorphida, Priapulidae. The record is from RefSeq and is a predicted model, not a curated record. The transcript has 4 exons.
UCUUUGCGGAAGUUGAUGACCGGCGUGUGAAUCUAGAAGAACAUGUAAAGUCUUUAAUAAACCAGAAUGACUCCCUUAACGAAAAGUAUUCGUUGGCAAAGGAUCACCUCAGCAAAUUAAAGGUACAACUUGCUUCUGUGAUGCAGAUGUGCAGCCAGCGUGUGGACAGUACUCAGUUGACCCGACUCAACCAGCAGCUGUGUCAGGCCCAGAGUGAGAUUAUUGAUCUCACUCACCAAAUUCAGAUUCUCAGCGCAAAAAGGAAAGAGGAAGAUGUAAAACAAUGCGCUGCUGCCA